GGGUGGGGCACCGUUCAACCCACUACAAAGAUUAUCUAUGUGACACAGAGUUUCCUGGUGGCAUCUUAACCAGCUGCUCCGUGCUCUUUGCUGGACAACAUCCCGGUUACCUGCCUGUCUCGGUCAGAACCAGGAGCAGGUGUUCCAGGCCCAGGUGCACCACGGUUUUCUGCAAGGUCGGGUUUACGUUCCCUCUCCAGGAAGCUAAAUGUGCCAUGGUGGGAGUGAUGUGAUGAGACUUCUGAGUCUAGGUCAUAAAAGGCAGUACAGCUUCUGCCUGCUUCUCCUGAGCUAUGUGCUCCUGGAACCCAGCCACCACGAGGUGAGGAGUCCCAAAGUCCUCAGAGAGACGGACAUGGAGGGGAACCGUGGUCUCCAGCCUAUAAUCCAGCUGAGCUCCCAGCUGACACCCACUGCCAACAUGGUGGCAUGUGACUCAGCCAUCUUGGCAGCAGGUCGUCCAGCCCCAGUGCAGCCACCGCACUGAUGUGACAUGGAGCAGAGGCGAGCUGUGAAUGUCGCAGCCAGCCGUAUUACAGAUUUGGGAGAAAAUGAGAAGAUGGUGGUUGUUUUAGGCCAUUGUGUUUUGGGGAGGUUUGCUAUGUAACUACAGUCAGCUGAUACACAACGUUUGAUUCAAUUUUCUAAUAUUUUGUUUAGGAUUUUUGCACUCACCUUCAGAAGGAAGAUCAGACUAUAUUUUCUUUUCUUUCUUCUUUUUUUUUUUUUUUUACUUUCUUUGUUGUCUGCUUUUUAUAUCAAGUUACACAACCCUUUAAACGUGAGCUGGGAUAUAUUUCUUUUUUUUUUUUCUCUAGUCUCUGAAAAACAUCUGGGUUAGUUUCAAAUUAUUUUUAUUUAAUGUUUGAUUAAAAAGACAACAAACUAAUGCAAAAAGCUGUCAGGGCUUGAUGCUUUUCAUUUCUUGGAAAGAGAUUGUCUAUUGGCUAAUUUAUUGAAAGACUCGUAUCUAGUCUUAUUGCUUAUUAUUUCUUAAGUUAAUUUUUGGUAGUUUCCUAGAAGUUGUUCACAUCCUCCAAGCUUUCAAAGUGCAAACGUCAAGUUUCACUGUAACUGAGUUAUGUUCCCUCAUUUAUUUAUUAUUUAUUCUCUCUUUGCCUCCCUGAUGUGACUUGCCAGAGUAUGUCUAUUUGAUUAAUCUUUUCAACAGUCAGCUUUUCUUUACUAUUCAUCUUUCUAGCUUCUAAUGAGAGUAGAAAGAAAACAAAUGAAAUAGUUUUCAUUUCCAUCACUAUAUAUCUUUACUUUCAUCACUCCUUUCUAUAUGAUAUUUGAGCUUGUGAUUUCUCUCUUGUUCCUUUUUAUUUUUUUGUCUUUCUGAGUUGAAACCCUAGCGUAUUUUUACCAGCUAUGUUCCCUCAAACUGUCACUUUAGAAACAAAGCAGAAGUUUGAUAAGAAGUGCUUGUUAUUCAGUUCCAAGUAUUUUACAGUUUCCCCUUUAACUGGGAUGACCACAUAGUGUAUGAACCAAAUUGAGACACUUUUGAUAGUAAAGGGGAGUGCUAUUAAUAAUUAUACCAGCAUGACAGACAUAAAUAGGGUCUUAACUAUACAAAUUCAGAUGUAUGUACACCCAUAAGUGAUUUCAAAGAGUGCGUUUUGGUUUUCAAGUGUGUGUGUGUAAAAAGUAAACAACUUCAUUGAUUUCUACUAUAAUUACAUUGAGGUCCAAAAAUCUGGUCUAUGUGAUAGAAUUUGGAAUUUGCAGAAACUUCCUUAGUGGUCUAGUGAUUGGUCAAAUUUUAUAAAUAUCCCAUAUGUGGUUGGAAGCAAUGUGUUUUCAGAGUUCACUGUUUCUUUUCUUUUUUUAAUUAAAGUUUAUUGGAGUAACAAUUGUUA
This is a long non-coding RNA of Hipposideros armiger (great roundleaf bat), 1862 nucleotides long. RefSeq lists it as uncharacterized. The record is from RefSeq and is a predicted model, not a curated record. NCBI's taxonomy places the organism in Eukaryota, Metazoa, Chordata, Mammalia, Chiroptera, Hipposideridae. The transcript has 3 exons.